UGACAAGCUGACAAUCGGGC
This 20-nucleotide microRNA is filed under the name Marchantia polymorpha subsp. ruderalis. The record is from RNAcentral. Lineage: Eukaryota; Viridiplantae; Streptophyta; Marchantiopsida; Marchantiales; Marchantiaceae.